RNAcentral lists this long non-coding RNA (11777 nucleotides) under Citrus x clementina. RNAcentral describes it as "Citrus clementina (C. clementina) long non-coding RNA (CCLE_LNC006861)". The record is from RNAcentral. Lineage: Eukaryota; Viridiplantae; Streptophyta; Magnoliopsida; Sapindales; Rutaceae.
GGAUUCUUAUUCUCGCGCACAUUGUACGCCUUAUGGUGAAGAUGAUAAUUUUUUUUCUAAAAUUAAUGAAGAGAUCACCACGGCAACCCUCAAGUUCGGAUGCUCACGCAGCACAUCCUAUUCAUACCGUCUAAUGUGCACAACCCCCGUGGGAUGAGUAUAAUAAGGGUGCGUUUGAGAGAGAGUAUGAUGCAAUAUCUUUUAAGUUGUAAUUGCUGAGGAGUACAAAUUAUAGUUGUAGAGUAGCACUCGAUGGUGUUUGGUAAAAGUAUUGUAUCUUUUAAGUUGUAAAAACUGAUGGUGUUUAGUAAAUUUUAAUAGUUAUGUAGUGCAUGAAUAUUUGUAAUAAUUAAUUUUAAAUAACGUUAUUUUUAAUUGUUAACAAAUCGCAUUAUUUUUCGUACUUCGAAUUAUUAUAUUGACAUACAAUUACGAUUUAUUACUUCACAAAUUAAAUUAAUAUUUAAUAAAUCAAUUUUAUUUUUUUGCACAAGUUGUAAUAAAUAAUUUUUAUAAUAAAUCAAUUCUAAUUUUAAAUAUUGAUUGAAGAAAUAAAUUAUACCAAAUAUGUCUAAUAAAGAUCAUACAAUAUUUCAUAAUAAAAUUAAAAUGUAAUUAAUUACAAAAUUCGUAUAAAUAUUUAUUUUGUCAUGCCUCCAUUAAACUCGCAGCAAUGUUGUCUCUCAAGAUUAUUGUAUCUUGAGCUGUAUUAUCAAUUGUAUCAUAACUUUAUUUAUGAGAUGUAAUAUUGCUCAUAUGUUCACUAAUAUUAUGACUUGGCUCAUCCAUUGUUUCAUCAAAAUGAUCAUGAUUUUGCGAAUAUCUUCUAAUGUAAUUAUGUAAAGCCAUGGUAACAAUAACUAUCUUCAACCUACUUCUUGAAUGGAUAGCUUGUCAUAUUUCGUAAAAUCUUCCGUCUAUUCUUCCAAGCCCUAAAAGUACACUCAACAACACUCAUCAAGAAAGAAUGCUUAUAGUUGAACAAUUCUUUAUGACCCAUUGGUUAGCUACCUCUACGAAAUUUAGGAAGGUAAUAUAUUUCACUUUUGUAUAGUUCUAAAUACCCAUUUAACUCUAGCACGUAUAAUAAUGUAAUUAAUAAAUAUAAUCAUUAUAAUUAUGAAUUUUUAAUUAAUUAAUUUAAAAUAAUAUUUUUAGUAUUAUAAUGUUUAUUAAAAAUAAUUUAUUUAGGUAAAUAAUAUGUUUAAUAUUAUAUUUCGUUUUUCACAUUAAAUAACAAUAACAAUUUAAUUUAUAUAAUUAUAAAUAUUCUUAAAUUUUCAAAUUUACAUUUUAAAUUAAUUAUUAAAUUGAUAUUCAAAAUAUUUAUUUAAAUUUUGACGUUGAAUUGUUUUUAUUUUAAUAAUAAUAAAAAUAAUAAAAUUUAAUAUUAUAAUAUAAAAUAUUAUUAGUAAAAAUAUUAAAUUAUUUUAUAAUCAAAGAUUUUUUUUAUAUUAAAUGAACUUUCAUUUGUAAUAAUACAAUUAAACUAUGAUUAAAAAUAUUUAUUUAUAGUUAAUUUUAAUAAUGAAAAAUUAUUAUUACAAUCCAAAUUAAUCAUAACUAUUGAAUUAUACCAAACACAAGACAAUUUAAACAUAAUUCAAUCAUAUUUUAAUAAUAAUAAAAAUAAUAAAAUUUAAUAUUAUAAUAUAAAAUAUUAUUAGUAAAAAUAUUAAAUUAUUUUAUAAUCAAAGAUUUUUUUUUAUAUUAAAUGAACUUUCAUUUGUAAUAAUACAAUUAAACUAUGAUUAAAAAUAUGUAUUUAUAGUUAAUUUUAAUAAUGAAAAAUUAUUAUUACAAUCCAAUUUAAUCAUAACUAUUGAAUUAUACCAAACACAAGACAAUUUAAACAUAAUUCAAUAAUAUUUUAAUAAUAAUAAAAAUAAUAAAAUUUAAUAUUAUAAUAUAAAAUAUUAUUAGUAAAAAUAUUAAAUUAUUUUAUAAUCAAAGAUUUUUUUAUUUUAUAUUAAAUGAACUUUCAUUUGUAAUAAUACAAUUAAACUAUGAUUAAAAAUAUGUAUUUAUAGUUAAUUUUAAUAAUGAAAAAUUAUUAUUACAAUCCAAUUUAAUCAUAACUAUUGAAUUAUACCAAAUACAAGACAGUUUAGACAUAAUUCAGUCAUAUUCUAUCUUAUCUCAUCUUAUCCGGUCCUAGCACAUCCUAUCCUGCAUAAUGCACCUUAAAAUUUUAUGAUUGAAAUGUAGAAUUCAACUAAUUUAAAAGCCUAUGAAGUCACUAAGUCAAAAUUUAAUGAAGAUUAGGGUUCGCAGAAAUACAUUUUUUAAAGUUGCUUGAAAAUUAGUAUAGUAGGGAUUCGAGGCUAAAUAAUAAAAAUAUUAAUAAAACCUUGCAUAUUAUCCCACCUUCCAUAAUUUUUAACAAAUUCGUAUUAGUAUAAAGGGUAUUGCAAAAUUCUUCUACAAAUCGGAAUAAGCCAGCAAAUAUAACCUUGAAUAUAAUUCGAUUAUCUAUAUUUUCAAUAAACAAACAUUUUAAAAGAGAUUAUUUUAAGAACAAGCAAUCUAAAAAUUUACCUACUUAUUAUAACUCAGUUUGUAUCGCAACUAACAAAAUUCAUGUUCAAAUAAAAACCCAAAACUCAACACUUACCAAAUAAGCACAAUUCCAUCUCGAAACUCAAAUAAACCCACACCAUAAUUGAAAAUCCAAGAGAUGAAAUGAGGACAUAGGGUAAAAUUGAAAUCUGAGAACUGAAACCGAACAAUCAGUCUAUGGAAAGAGAAGACAAGUAAGUUUUUUUUUUUUUUUUUUCCAAUUCUUUCGUCUUUUUGAUUGAGCUGCAACAUGCAAUCAUUAAGCAUGAAGAGUCUUUGAGCAACAAGAAUAACUAUUGCUCAUUUAUCAUUUUUUUUUAAAACAAAAAUUACUCAUUUGUAAUUGGAAUUUUUUUUUUUUUUUUUGGGGCUAGGCGCUUGCUCAUUUACCCUUUUUUGAGAUUUUUUUUUUUUUUUUGUGAGCAACAAGAACCACUCUGAUAUUGGGGCUUGAAACACAAUGGGUAACGAGGGUUAUUUUAAAAUUAAAAGGAGAGUCAUUAGAUAUGUACAUUAUUAUAAUAUUUUUAAUGGUGAAAAAGGAGGGGCUUUAAGAGGACUUUGUGGGGGUGGGAAUAGUUUCACCGUGUUUGAAACAACAAACAGCCCAAAGUGUUAGGCCACGAUGUCGAAGUAAUAAGUGGCCCAAAAAAUGUCGGCAAUAUUUGGGUCCAAUCUUUUUGUUUCAAUACAGUUUUAACAGUUGCUGCUGUACCCCUAGUCUCCUACAUACCUCUCUUGAUCUUUAUCAGGGGCGGACUUAGGAAUUUGUAUUAUCCCGGGCUAAAUUAUAAAAUUUAUAUUUUAAAGUGAGCAUAAAAAUUUAUAAGUAGAAAAAAUUGCAUCAAAUAAGGGGGGCACGAAAAAUCUUAUCACUAUAAGUUAUAAACAAAAAUAGUUAUAUAAAAAGAGUAGAAAACAAAAGCAAUUAAAAAAAUAAAAUACUAUUUUACAAUUAUGAAAUCUAACUCUAAUAAAAUGUAAUUAUACAAGGAUUAUAUAAGGAUUAAUAUAUUAAUUAAGGAUUUUAAGCUGAAAUAAAUGAAUACAUGUAAUUACAAUCAAUUAAAAAUUGAAGUAAAACUUUAAUGUUUGAAGUCAAGUACUUAAUUACCAGGUUUCAAUAAAUUAAACAAUUCAAAUUUAUUCCUCUUUUUAAAUUAUAAAAAUAUUAUUAGUCAAAAGUUUCAAUUAUAAACUAAAUUCAACCUAACAAAAAUAUAUUUGCGUGUUGUUUUUUCUUUGUCAAACACUCUGACUCUCUUUAAAGAACCAAUUGUUGAUGAUUUUUCUAUCAAAUUAAAGCUCCUCAAAAUAUUCAAAUUUUAUCUUAGUUAAUAUAACUAAUAAAUAAAAUAUCAAAAUUUACAUAAAAAGUUUAUGAAAAUAUUGAUAAUUGUUACUACAUGUUUUUUUUAAGUAGUUUAAUACUAGUGACAAUUUUAUAUUAGAUUGACAUACUUUUUUUCAAUUAGAAUUUUUUUAAAUAAAUUAAAGUAAUAACAUUUUACCCCCUAAUGUUUUUUUAUCUAUAUAAUAAAUAUAUAAUUUACUCAUUUUAUAAAAUAAGUCACUAAUUUCAAUUGGAAAAAAAUACAAUUGAAUUAAGGACAUAUUUAAAAAUAAAAUAAAAACUCUAUUGUAGUAUAAAAUUAAUGAAAAUAUAAGGAUAAUUAUGUUAGGGACAUGUAUGAAAACAAAAUAAAAUCUCUAUUAUUGUCUAUAAUUGAUAGUAAAAUAAGGGGUAUGAAUGAUUUUUUCCUAAGUUUGACCGGGCUACAGCCCGGUCUAGCCUUGCUGCAGGUCCGCCACUGAUCUUUAUUAUCGUCGUAACAAAUUAAAAAAUUCCCACCCUUCAUGAUUGCCGCCGUCUCAAUGAAAAUAAUAUCUCUAAGUAAAUGCAAUGCAGGAUUCUUAUGGAAACGACAAGGUGGGCAAAAAUUCAGGGGAAAAAAAAAUUCCGAAGAGUUUGCUUUUGCCUUCGCACUGCAAGAGGUGUGGGCAUUCUUUUCGUCUUUUAUAUUUUAUAUUCGUCAUACAUCAAAGAAAGGAAAAUUACAUUGUAGGCACCUUAAUAAUACGAAAUCUUAUUAACAUAUAGGUGCGUAUGGUACUUUUAUUUAUUUAUUAUUAUUAUUAUUUUUAUAUAAGGAAGUCUUAUGUACGCCAUGUAAUAAUUUUGACGUAGUACUCUAAUUAGAGGUGAGGAAAAAAUCGAUAUUCAGAAUAACCAAUCGAUUCAGUUUUGGGAAUCCAACCGAAUUUCUUGUUCAAUUAAAGAUUCAGCGGCUGAACUGAAUAAUUGAACCGAAAAAACCGAAACAAUUGAGUAUUAAUUAAGAAUUUUGAAUGUGUCGCAUUUUGAUUAAUGUGCUUAUAGUAUUAUCGUACACUUGCACAGAUAAAAAUAAAAGAAGUUACAAUAAUUGUAACAUACAUUCCUCGUGUGAACCACACAAAAUUAUAGGACCCAUAAUUUAUGUGGUUCACAUAAAGAAUGUAUGUUACAAUUAUUGUAACUUAGCAUUUGCCAAAAUAAAAUUGAAUAUGAUAAACUACACUUAGGUCAUGUUUGGUUGGGAGGAAAAAAUAUAGGAGAGAAAAGUAAUUUAAAUUCUCUUUUUAUUUUCAUUGUUUGGUUUAACAAAAUGUAUAAGAAUUUAAUUUCCAUUAGAAUUUAAUAUAUAUCAUAAUGUAGAAUUUGAAUUCCACACUAAAUAGUGAAGAAUUUAAAUUCCUCUUAUAUUAGAAACUAAAGUUUUCAAAAUUACCCUUCAUCUUUUUAACUUAUUUAAUGACAUUAAUAAUUAUUAUUUAUAAUUAUUAUUUUAUUAAAUUAAUAUUAUAAAUGGACCACCGUCGGAAAGUCGCCGGACCACCACCGGCGAGGUUGCCGGAUCACCAUCGGAUUUCGCCGAAAUAUUGCCGGACCACUGUCGGACUUCCCCGGAAAAUUGCCAAACCUCUGCCGGACUUCUGCCGCCGGCCAUCGGACCGCCAUUUUAUUAUAUAUAUAUAUAUAUAUAUUAUUACUAAUAUAAAUAAUUUAAUAUUUAAAGUAAAUGAUAAAUUUGCCUAAAAAAAAUUAUAAUUCAUUUUCUUAUCAAAUUUUAUAUCAAACUAAACAACAAAAUUUAAUUUCACUACUAUUCUUCAUUCAUUUCUUCUCCCUUCUUCUCCAUUCCACUCUUUUCCUCUCAUCUAUUUUCUUCAAACCAAACAUGACCUUAAUUUAUUUAGAACAACUCUCUAUAAUUGAUGUAACAUAGAUUAAUGUGUUUAAUAUAAUUCAAUCUUAUUCUCAAUUCUCCCCAGGUUAUCAAAAGAAUUCUCCCCCAGAUUCAAUAUUUCACAAAUCCUAAGAUUACAAACCGCCGCUGUACUGCGACCCGUGCAUGAUUGGCAACCGUUCGACGCCUGCAGCCUACUUGCUUCUUUCCCAGGUGUUGUAAAUUCCAAUUCAGCUGAAAAGAUCAAUUUAGAUGCCCGACGCUAUCAACAGCAGCAACCGCUUUGCCGCACGACGCCAGCUGCUACAGCAACUCUUUGUCGCAAGUGGCCUGUACCUGGCAGUGUUAUUGUUGGUUGAAUGUUGAUAGGUGAUAGGCCUUCUUUUGUUGUUGUUUAUCUUCGUGCUUUAUUUAGAAAGCAGGAUUGUUGUUGUUUUUGUUGUAAUUUGUCUUGCUUUUUUUUGUUUUUUUUUUUCCAAAUAAAACCCAGGCUGAUUGUUGUUGCUAAGAGCCUUAUGCUUCGUCCCCCUCUCUCCCCCCCCCCCCCCCCCCCGAUUGAAAGGAGCCUUGCGCUUUUCUUAUUGUUUACAAAUUUAAUAAAAAAAAUUAAAUGUGGAGUUCUAACGGGGAAGAGGAAGGUGUGGACUGUAGAGAACCGAAAUCGAACCGAUUCGAUUCUGUUUAAUUUUCAAUCCGAAUAGCACUGAAUCCACUCCGAACUCAAGUCCAACCCAUUGUGGAUAUGUGGUGCUAGGCUAGGCUGUCACAAUCACAAAGAUAUCCUGGUAUAAUAAAGGGGAUUGAAUAUCUUUAUUUUGAUAAUAAAGGGAAUUGAAAGUGAAAGGAUUUUUGGUAAACUAAAAAAUAAGACUAUUAUAAAAAAUUUGCUGAAAAAUUAACAGAAUAUCUACUUGAAGCUGUGAAGGAAUAAAAGAAUUGAAGUCGAGAGUAAUAUGAAUGGGGAUAUAAUGUGUUGGAGAAAAAUCAGUUUUUUAAAUUUUUUUAUAAAAACUUUUAGGAUCGCUCUCAUACAAUAUAUAAGAAUUUAUAAUAUAGAAAUCGUACCUUAAAAAUUCGAAUUGGUUUUUUCCACUGAAGUGAUUUAGGCUCCCAGUUCACGAUCCGUCACCACCACUUCUGUUAGAUCACGAUUUGUCACCACCACUCAUGUUAGAUCACGAUCCGCCACCAAAUAAUCUUCCAGGCUAUGAUUUAAGUUUGAUCUGUACUUGACGUGUGAGCGCCUUUAUCACCACUAAAGCAACUAGCACGAAAUUUUUUUUUCUCUCAACAAUUGAGAGAAAAAUCUUUUUCUCUUAUCUGUAUAAAGUGGCUCUGCUUUUUUUCUUUAAAGAAAAUACGUUUUUAUAUCUCCUUUUAGUGAAAACCGUAGGCUCCAAAUGAUAAAAAAUAAAAGUCACGUUACUUGUUUUUUCCAUAGGGGGCCCAUAUUGUAAAAUAACAUAAAGUCCCUUACACAUAAGCAUAUUAAAUGGAGUCUCCCACUAAAUGAUAUAUUUAAGUUUUUGACCCAAAUAGCUAGUUAUCUUGCUUAUUAAUCCAGCAGUAGUGCAGUCAAUUAAAUGAGCUAACCCGGGAAUCAUUUGGGAACAUACAAUAGUGGCUAUAAUAAUUAGGCCGGUAAUUAAACUAGCCCAAUUAUUUAAUUCCAAAUCUACUCUACUAAAAGAUUGGAACUGACUUCCAUAAUUGUAUGCUCGAAUAAUAAUUCGUCCCAAGCCAUAUUGAUUUCUUUACUGUAUAAUCCUUUGAACCACAUCGUUAAUUAAAUCGAUAUCUCAACUGUCCAAUCGAUUUAAUUACAUCUUAUUCCUUGAUACUUACUGAUUUUUUCUAAUAAUCAUUUUCAACAUAAUAAAUAUGUUGACACACUCUGGCCAGAGAAUUCUAUGAUCAAGUGCCGAAAACCCAUCAAGAGAUGUGUUGUACAAAUUCUAUAUUGUUAAUCUAUAACUCCAAUAUUCAUAAUUGCUCCCACCAAGAUACCGGGUAAUCUUGACUACAAUUGUGUGUCGUGCCAAUUGGUAAAUCAAAUGGAAUAAUAAUUACAAUCAUGAAAUCAUAACUAACUCAAGAUUAAGAUUACAGUAAAAUCAAUGUCUAUGAGAUUUAAUAAGUCUGACAGUCAUUUCAAGGUUAAGUAAAUCUCAUAUGUGAUCCAGCUCAAUGUAGUCAAACUACAUUAGUAAAUUCAUUAAAUGAUUAAGACAACUCAUUUAAUGAAUUUACUACAGUCUAAACAUAAAUAGAGUGCCCAACUCUAUUUAUCAACUGCGAACUAAUAUUAAUUUAAUCAUAAGAUAACUUGUAUUUAUGUCUUCUGUGAAUGCAUAUGAUGAUCACAUAAAUACAUAUAAUAUGAUUAAACAGACCUUAUUCAAAAUAUUUAUGCAAUUGAAAAUAUCUCCAAUAUUUUAUUAAUCAGAAAAUAAAUUAAUAUGCUUUAAAAGAGCAUAUAAUCCCAACAUAAUGAUGGCAAUCACAGAAGAUCGAGAAUAACUAUAUAAACGAUUAAGGAAAAAAAGAUCGAGUUACUACUUGUUCGGUAUGACUUAUCUAAUGGUCAUAAGUGCUUAUUUAAUUCCAUAAGCACUUUUUUAAAAAAAAAAUUUGGUGUUUGUUUAUUUUGUGAGUAGUGUUUUUUAAACUUAAAUAAGUUAAUUUAUCUAUACUAGUAAAAAUUUAAAAUUUGAGUUUUUGUGAGUAGAAGUAGAGAGAUUUUCUCAAGAAAUAUGUCAUAUAAAAAAUACCCUUAAAAUAUUUCAUUAAUUACAUAUUACCCUAUUAUAUAUAAAAAUUACAUAAUAAAAAUUAAAGUGCCAGCUAUUUUAUUGAUCAUUAUGUUUAUUGACAGGUACACUCCCCACCAAAAGUAUUGGCUGUGACGAUUAGUUUUCUCUCAAGUGUUAGGUAUGUACAGGGUUUUGCAUAAUUAAAGUGUCGGCUAUUUUAUUAAAAAAAGAAAAGAAAAAAGUGAAGUGGUGGCAAUAUGUUUAUACGGCGGCAACAAUAUUUAUUCUAUAGGUUUUGUAUGUAAUGGGGUCUUAUGUAAUUAAUAAAAUAUUUUAAGGGUAUUUUUGAUAUGACAUAUUUUUUGGGGAAAAAGCUCUUUAACCUCUACUCCCAAAAACUCAAAUUUUGAGUUUUACUAGCAAAGAUAAAUUAAUUAAUUUAAGCUUAAAAAACUCUAUUCACAAAAUAAAUAAACACUAAAAAAAAUUUUAAAAAGUAUUUAUGAAAUUAAAUAAGCAGACUAAUAAAUCAAAUAAGUACUUAAUUAAUAGAUAAUUUUACUAGAGUAAAAAUAACAUAACUCGACAUUAAAGUCAGUCCACCAUAUGAUAUGGGAUAAGCCAAGAGGAUUAAGGGUGCGUUUGGGAUUGAGGUUGGGCAGCUGUAGCUUAAAAGCUACAGCACUAAAGUGUUUGGUAAACACUAGCUGCUGUAGCUUUUAAGCUAUGUUGAUAUAAUUUUUCACUUGUAUAAUAUAAAAUUUAUUAUAUCUUUAAUAAUUUUGAUAAAAUUAUUAUUUAAAAUUUAUAUUGACUAUAUAUUAUUAACUUUUAUUUCAUAAUUACAGCUUUUUUUCACAGCAGCUAUAGCUUAAAAGCUACAGCACCUCAAUCCCAAACGCACCCUAAGNNNNNNNNNNNNNNNNNNNNNNNNNNNNNNNNNNNNNNNNNNNNNNNNNNNNNNNNNNNNNNNNNNNNNNNNNNNNNNNNNNNNNNNNNNNNNNNNNNNNGGUAAACUAAAAAUGAGUUUAUUAUAAAUAUUUUGUAAAAAAUUAACAGAAUAUCUACUUGAAGCUGUGAAGGAAUAAAAGAAUUGAAGUCGAGAGUAAUAUGAACGGGGAUAUAAUGAUGGCAAUCACCGAAAGAUCGAGAAUGACUAUAUAAACGAUUAAGGGAAAAAGAUUGAGUUAGGGCGAGUCAAUAAUAACAGGAGAAGAAGAAACGGCAUUGAGUUUUAAUUAAUAGGUAAUUUUAUUAGAGCAAAAAUAACAAUAAAAAUAAUAAAAUGGUAACGGUUUUUUAAAACCUGACAUUAAAGUCAAUUCCCCGUGUGAUAGGGGAUAAGCCAUGAGGAUUAAGUGGUCGAGAAUAAGUCUGUCUCCUACAACUAGCCCCACGCCCAGAAGACUUGUAAGUUGACUUUCACUAGACCUAAAGAAAUAUUUCCAAAAUAAUGCAAGCUUAAAUAAAGUACUGGACUUCAUCUUUCGAGUCAUAACGGAGAGAUCACUUGAAUCUUUGUGAGCCUACAUACAAUUGAGAAAUUAAAAAAAAAAAAAUUCGAAGGAUUGUAACUUCUUUUGUGACCAGUCUGGUGAAUUUAAACAAAUGGAGAGGAGGGUCUAUGAAGCAGCGGUUGAGGGCAGUGUAGAAUCUUUGCUUAAAUUGCUUCAAGAGGAUGCUCUGCUUCUCGAUAGAUCAAUGGUGAGUUGUUACUCUGAGACCCCUUUGCACAUAGCUUCAAUGCUUGGACAUGAAAACUUUGUCCUGGAAAUUUUAAGUCGAAAGCCUGAGUUAGCUGGAGAGCUCGAUUCCAGAAGAUCAUCAGCACUUCACUUGGCAAGUGCAAAAGGGUACCUUGUUAUAGUGAAAAAAUUGGUUUCUGUUAAUCCUGAAAUGUGCUAUGUUCGCGAUCGAGAUGGGAAAAAUCCUCUACAUGUUGCAGCCAUCAAGGGCCAUGAUAAAGUCUUGGAAGAGUUGUUUCAAAAGAGACCCGAGGCCUGUCGAGUCUUGAUGGACAGAGGUGAGACAAUUUUACAUGCUUGUGUGAAUUAUAACCAGUUGGAGUGCCUGAAGUUGCUGGUGGAGAAACUGAAUGAUCAUGAGUUUGUGAAUUCGAAGGACGACGAUGGCAACACUAUCUUGCAUCUCGCCGUCAUCGAUAAACAAGUAGAGGUGUGUGUAUAUAUACUCUAGCUAAUAACUAAUAAUAUAUCUCCUUUCCAUUAAUUAGUUGAUUAAUUCUACUCUUUCUUUCCCUUUGUAUUUAAAUUAUAUAACGUAAAACUUGGAAACGUGCAGGCUGUAAAGUUCUUGACUGGCAGUACUACGAUAGAAGUAAAUGCUGUUAAUGCAAAUGGCUUCACAGCUUUGGAUAUUUUAGCACAAAGAAAAUUAGACAUGAAUUCGACGAUUGGAGAGCUGCUUCGAUGCGCUGGAGCAAGAAGUCUGAAAGAACACGUGAACCUGCUUCAGGCACCACAAAGACACGGACAGGAUCGAUCAUAACAUCCCAUUCUGGUGACCCUAGUAAUCAAGGGCGUGAACGUCCAGAAAAGGCUAGAAAAAAGCAAGAAGAUAAAUGGUCGGAAAAAAAGCGUAAUACAUUAAUGGUGGUAGCAUCACUCAUCGCUACCAUGGCAUUUCAAGCUGGUCUGAACCCUCCUGGGGGUGUAUGGCAAGAUGAUUCCCCAAAAAACGACGCUUCACGACAUCAGGCAGGGUGUUCGGUAAUGUUAACUCAAGAUGAGAUUAGUUACAAUCUUUUCUUUGGUUUUAACACCACAGGCUUUGUGGCGUCUCUUAGCAUCAUAUUAUUGUUCAUAAGCGGCAUCCCGUUUUUUAAGCGUAGGUUUUUCAUGUGGAUUUUAACCGUGAUAAUGUGGGUUGCAAUUAGUGCAAUGGCUCUAGCUUAUCUGAUCGCCAUACUUGGUAUUACGAAUUCGGGUAACAGCAUGAUACCCUGGUAUGCUUCAACAUAUGUGCUACUUGGAUGGAUUGGGUUCAUUGGGAUUCUUAUUCUCGCGCACAUUGUACGCCUUAUAGUGAAGAUGAUAAAAUAUUUUCGAAAAUUAAUGAGAGAUCACCACGGCGAGCCUCAAGUUCGGAUGCUCAGGUAGCACGUCCUAUUAAUACCGUCUAAUGUGUACAACCCCCCGUGGGAUGAAUAUAAUAAAUGUACAUGUAGUGACUGAAUACCAUGAGUUGUGCUAAAAAUUAUGUGACCCUGAGUUUG